GUAAGAAUCUUCCGCAAUAGUCGAAAGACUGACGGAGCGACGCCGCGUGAACGAUGAAGGCCGGAAGGUUGUAAAGUUCUUUUCUCCAGGAAGAAUAAGGCAGGGAGGGAAUGCCCUGUCGAUGACGGUACUGGAGGAACAAGCCCCGGCUAAUUACGUGCCAGCAGCCGCGGUAACACGUAAGGGGCGAGCGUUGUUCGGAAUUAUUGGGCGUAAAGGGCGUGUAGGCGGUAAUAUAAGCCUGGUGUGAAAGGCCGCAGCUUAACUGCGGGAGUGCGCUGGGAACUGUAUUGCUUGAGUUACGGAGGGGGAGCUGGAAUUCCAGGUGUAGGGGUGAAAUCUGUAGAUAUCUGGAAGAACACCGGUGGCGAAGGCGAGCUCCUGGCCGAUAACUGACGCUGAGGCGCGAAAGUGUGGGGAGCGAACAGGAUUAGAUACCCUGGUAGUCCACACUGUAAACGAUGUGCACUAGGUGUUGGUUCGAGAAGAAUCAGUGCCUGAGCAAACGCGAUAAGUGCACCGCCUGGGGAGUAUGCCUGCAAGGGUG
This 547-nucleotide ribosomal RNA is filed under the name uncultured bacterium. RNAcentral's name for it is "bacterial SSU rRNA". It matches the Rfam family "Bacterial small subunit ribosomal RNA", at positions 355 to 896 of the family's 1533-position model. The record is from RNAcentral.